Non-coding RNA from Epichloe festucae Fl1, 98 nucleotides. NCBI's taxonomy places the organism in Eukaryota, Fungi, Ascomycota, Sordariomycetes, Hypocreales, Clavicipitaceae. The record is from the annotation of a GenBank genome assembly.
GGUGAGAUGGCCGAGUUGGUUAUGGCGUAAGAUUAAGGUGUGCAUUAGUCUUAUUUCUUAUGGAGCAAUCCGCCUGGGUUCGAGUCCCAGUCUCAUCA